GACGAACGCUGGCGGCGUGGAUUAGGCAUGCAAGUCGGACGGUAGGGCUUUAUCGUAAGAUAGAGUUUGAGAGUGGCGAACGGGUGAGUAACACGUAGGAAUCUACCCUUAAGACGGGGACAACCCAGGGAAACUUGGGCUAAUACCGGAUGAGAGUGCGAGAGAUUGCAUUUAAAAGGAUGGCGAAAGUUGUCGCUUUAGGGAUGAGCCUGCGGUCUAUUAGUUAGUUGGUGAGGUAAGAGCUCACCAAGGCGAUGAUAGAUAGGCGGCCUUAACGGGUGGUCGCCCACACUGGGAUUGAGAUACGGCCCAGACUCCUACGGGAGGCAGCAGUGGGGAAUAUUGCGCAAUGGGGGAAACCCUGACGCAGCGACGCCGCGUGAGCGAAGAAGGCCUUAGGGUCGUAAAGCUCUGUUGUAAGGGACGAAUGUUUAUCUGGCGAACAGUCAGAUAAAGUGACGGUACCUUACCAGCAAGCCCCGGCUAACUACGUGCCAGCAGCCGCGGUAAUCAUACUCG
RNAcentral lists this ribosomal RNA (519 nucleotides) under uncultured bacterium. Its description in RNAcentral is "bacterial SSU rRNA". It matches the Rfam family "Bacterial small subunit ribosomal RNA", at positions 28 to 529 of the family's 1533-position model. The record is from RNAcentral.